Molecule: ribosomal RNA, 482 nt
Filed under: uncultured bacterium
Lineage: Bacteria
Description: partial 16S ribosomal RNA
Rfam family: Bacterial small subunit ribosomal RNA
Source: RNAcentral
AUUGAACGCUAGCGGGAUGCUUUACACAUGCAAGUCGAACGGCAGCGCGGACUUCGGUCUGGCGGCGAGUGGCGAACGGGUGAGUAAUGUAUCGGAACGUGCCCAGUAGCGGGGGAUAACUACGCGAAAGCGUAGCUAAUACCGCAUACGCCCUACGGGGGAAAGCAGGGGAUCGUAAGACCUUGCACUAUUGGAGCGGCCGAUAUCGGAUUAGCUAGUUGGUGAGGUAACGGCUCACCAAGGCGACGAUCCGUAGCUGGUUUGAGAGGACGACCAGCCACACUGGGACUGAGACACGGCCCAGACUCCUACGGGAGGCAGCAGUGGGGAAUUUUGGACAAUGGGGGCAACCCUGAUCCAGCCAUCCCGCGUGUGCGAUGAAGGCCUUCGGGUUGUAAAGCACUUUUGGCAGGAAAGAAACGUCGCGGGCUAAUACCCCGUGGAACUGACGGUACCUGCAGAAUAAGCACCGGCUAACUACG